AUGGCGACCGGCGCACGGGUGAGUAACACGUAUCCAACCUGCCGAUGACUCGGGGAUAGCCUUUCGAAAGAAAGAUUAAUACCCGAUGGCAUAGUUCUUCCGCAUGGUGGAACUAUUGAAGAAUUUCGGUCAUCGAUGGGGAUGCGUUCCAUUAGGUUGUUGGCGGGGUAACGGCCCACCAAGCCUUCGAUGGAUAGGGGUUCUGAGAGGAAGGUCCCCCACAUUGGAACUGAGACACGGUCCAAACUCCUACGGGAGGCAGCAUG
RNAcentral lists this ribosomal RNA (266 nucleotides) under uncultured bacterium. Its description in RNAcentral is "partial 16S ribosomal RNA". It matches the Rfam family "Bacterial small subunit ribosomal RNA", at positions 88 to 353 of the family's 1533-position model. The record is from RNAcentral.